RNAcentral lists this non-coding RNA (259 nucleotides) under unidentified. The record is from RNAcentral.
CUGGAGAAUGGUGUAUCAGGAAGACGCCGUCAGCGUCGGGGAAGAUGGUGCAAAUCCAUCACGGUGCCGCCACUGUAAGCGGGGAGUGACUCUGCAGUGAGCCACUGACUUGGUUCGUGAACUGUGAUCAUGUCACGUAUUUCCUAGGACCGAGGUCCGCGAGAUACGCUUCACGAGAAACGGUUGACGUUCCGGUUGGGAAGGCGCAGAGACACGAUGAUCCGCAAGUCAGGAGACCCAACUGACGGCUGUUACCACU